UUGGCUCGAUGGCCUGAGCCUGAUUCACUUGAGCUAACCUAUUUGGACCAAUUGAUCUAUUGGUGUCAAAAGCAAGUAAUUGAGAGGUGGUUAUUUAAUUGAUUCAGUUGGUUGACUUGAUAAAUUUAUUGAUAUCUAAGAAAGGCAAUGGGGGGACCCCCAUCGAUCUCCACUUAUCUGGCCAAUUUGAAAGAUUUGAGUCUUGAAAAGAUUGCUUGGCAUUUUGGUUUAGCCCAUGUCAAUU
This 244-nucleotide long non-coding RNA is filed under the name Elaeis guineensis (African oil palm). Its description in RNAcentral is "long non-coding RNA (EGUI_LNC010219)". Lineage: Eukaryota; Viridiplantae; Streptophyta; Magnoliopsida; Arecales; Arecaceae. The record is from RNAcentral.